UAGUCCAUGCCGUAAACGGUGGGCACUAGAUGUGGGGACUUUCAACGGUCUCCGUGUCGAAGCUAACGCAUUAAGUGCCCCGCCUGGGGAGUACGGCCGCAAGGCUAAAACUCAAAGGAAUUGACGGGGGCCCGCACAAGCGGCGGAGCAUGUUGCUUAAUUCGAGGCAACGCGAAGAACCUUACCAAGUCUUGACAUCCUGUUGACCGUUCCUUAAUAGGAGCUUUCCUUCGGGACAACAGUGACAGGUGGUGCAUGGUUGUCGUCAGCUCGUGUCGUGAGAUGUUGGGUUAAGUCCCGCAACGAGCGCAACCCUUAUCUUUAGUAACCAGCACGUAAUGGUGGGGACUCUAGAGAGACUGCCGGGGAUAACUCGGAGGAAGGUGGGGAUGACGUCAAAUCAUCAUGCCCCUUAUGACUUGGGCUACACACGUGCUACAAUGGCUGUGACAAAGGGAAGCAAGAGGGUGACCUUGAGCAAAUCCCAAAAAAGCAGCCCAGUUCGGAUUGUAGUCUGCAA
Molecule: ribosomal RNA, 520 nt
Filed under: uncultured bacterium
Lineage: Bacteria
Description: bacterial SSU rRNA
Rfam family: Bacterial small subunit ribosomal RNA
Source: RNAcentral